RNA transcript from Drosophila ficusphila, 1565 nucleotides. It is a transcript of the gene named protein telomere ends associated-like, with no coding region annotated. The record is from RefSeq and is a predicted model, not a curated record. Lineage: Eukaryota; Metazoa; Arthropoda; Insecta; Diptera; Drosophilidae. The transcript is spliced from 3 exons.
CGUUGCAAACUUCUGACUGAAAUUGUAAUACCCUUUUGCUCUGCAAGGGUAUAAACACACAAUUUUGAUAAUCUUUGUGGGUAACACUAUUUUUGGAGGACAUAGUGGGUUUAAAAAAAACGUUUUAGGGCUUGACCAAUUGUCGAAAUAACUUUUAUAUCAAUUAUGGUUUCAGCGAUCUCAAUGCCAGGCAGUUGCGUUAAAAAUAUAACAUAUUCAAAUCGUAGCAAUCGGUGUAAUUCUUAUCAUCCUAACUGAAUAUAAGUUUGCGAGAAGUUGUUCCUAAUUUCAUUAUUAGUGAAGCUCUCACUGUGUUAACACCAAAUAUAUUGAAAUUUUUCAGUGGUAAGCUAAAAAUGAGACCCUAUACGUGCUUGUUUUUAAAAACAAAAUUUUCGAAUCUAGCAAUCGCCGUAAGACCCUCUCAGGAUUUUAAAGGCUGACAGCUACCACCCCACCAUUCGCCGAUAGCAUCCACAAAACCGACGACAAAACCAGGAACCAGGAUCUGAAGGUGUGAUUGUUGAAGUCGAAAAGAUGGGCACCUUUGUAUUCCCGGAGUUGUUGGAACUCCGUUAGCCAAGUUGCUAGAAUUUGGCAGACCUUUUGAUGACAUCGCAGUCAAAAGUGUUUUAAAGAAUGUCGCAGACAUUUCCCUUAACAACAAGUGAGCAACAAAAGCGUUUCACACAUAUGCUUUCCUCUAAUCUUUCACUUCAUUAUUUCAUAGUUCUAUUGUUAGUUUUGACCAGUUUAAGAGGAGCGUGCAGAAUUUAAAAGAAAUUGUGAAAGUUCUGCAACAGUCGGACGAAAAUUAUGCCGGCAGAGAUCUUAAAGAGUGUGCCCAUGACUACUACAUGGCAUUUUACCUCAACCCAGAGAUUCGGCAAAAGUGCAAAUUCCAGUUGCGACCAUGUGCGAUUGAAUUCCAGGACCGCCUACUGGGUUUUCUGAGCAUGAAAACUGCCAAUAAACUGAGGAGAUUUCACUCAACAAAAAGGAAUCAUGAUUUGAUUUCCUGUGAAAGCGAUUCUUCACAAGAUUCAGAAGAUCUUCCUUCUGGCAUUGUAGUUAAAUAAACCCCUGAAUGGGCGGACAAAGAGUUAUAUGAGCUGCAGGCACACUGAUUUGUACUAAGUUAUUAAUAAACAAUAAAUAUUAAAACAAUAUUUCAAGCUGUUGAUUAUUUAGAAAAGCAACAUUCCCGCUUUUUUUUUGAGUUUUUUGAAUAAGAUAAUUCAUAUUCAUACAGAUGAACAACUGAAUUUACAAUUUUAUUUUUCUUGCUUUAACUCCAGUGACUGGAGAACAUUUUUUUUUUAUCGAAAUAGUAGCCAUAUGACAUUAGCGUUCUUGAGAAAUGGUAGAUCUUAAAUAAGUUUCAAUUAAUUUCAAUUUGGAAAAACUUCUCUUCCCACUUGCGACACUGAUUGGAAGUGUUAAUAAAAUUCUCAAAGAUACGAAAACGUUUGGAAACGUCUGUUUUUCGAGUAUUGUUAUCGAACGAAGCAAUGAUCUAUUUGUAUCGACGUGCUAAAUACAUAAUCAAAGACCUGUAGGCACAA